UGCUCCAAAGAACCUUUCUAAACAGGUA
Molecule: non-coding RNA, 28 nt
Filed under: Rattus norvegicus (Norway rat)
Lineage: Eukaryota; Metazoa; Chordata; Mammalia; Rodentia; Muridae
Source: RNAcentral